CGUAAAGCACCACGGUAAACGUCACCAAACGUCACAUUAUUCCUAGUGUUCUGGUUGUUCGCGUGUUCCGUUCUUAUACAAGUUUAACGCGACCGUCAAUUAAAAAACGUUUUUCAAAAAUGUUUAUUACGUGUCUCCGUUUCCGAACGAAAUAUAAAUGUGUUUGAGUCGAUUUAUGUCACGAAUUAUUUGAAAUUCGCCAAAAACUUUUAUUUAUUGGAGAAACCGUUCGGUGUGGUGAUUGAAGAAAAAAAAAGUUGUUUGAUUUGAAAGCGUCGGACGCCCACCUUUUUUUAUAUGUAUUAAAGAUGCUUGCUGUAAUGGAAAAGCAACAAUCUGCUAGUUCGAGCAGCACUACUAGUGGAAGUAGUUCCACGGCGAUAUCUCCGGAAAACGGAGCUCACGCGAAGGAGUUUCUAUCUUCGGGUCGAACCGGACGUCGAAACGCGAUGCCAAAUAUACUCGGUGAACACGCGGUUGUGAGCAGCUCCGAUUUACCGGGUAGAUUACAAGCUUUGACGACGACUGAAAAACAAGAUGACGUCGAGAAAGAUGCAAAACCAGGACCGAGUUGUUCUAAAAGUUGAAUGGUUUUUGUGUUUGAACCAAGUUUUUGGGCGGAAAAAAAAUUUGUAUAAUGCCGAGAAUGGAUUGAGAUCGACCGGGUUGGAUUGAGGAAUGUCAAUUAAUUAACAAUUUAGAACGCCAAGAAAAAUAAAAUAAUCUAGUCCGCUUAGAUUAUAAAUUUUUGAUUAAGAAUCUCGUUUAAAUAAAUUUUAAUUCGUUUAUAAAGUUUAGAUCUGAUUUUUUUUUUGACUGAUUCAGUAAUUAAAUUUUUUUUAGAUGUAAAUUAGCCUAAAAGCAAAACGAAUGUUCUUGCCUGGUACAUUUUUAUUUUCGUUAUAACAGUUGAUUAGCAGUCAAUAAUACUUUAAUGUCUAUUAAUAGACAAACUUGGCUACCAAACAAAAUCGAAAUCAUCGCUCAUUAAAAUACAAAUGUGUAAACGUUUUGUUUAUUAUUAAAAAGCAAUAAAAAGAAUGAAGCAAAAACCUUUGUAAAUACCUAUUUAUCUAGAUGUGAUGUAUUAAUAGGUGUAUUUAUCUUUUUAUUUUGAUUCAAAAACGCAAAAAUAAAUUAUAUAUAACAUUAAUUGAUAUUAAAUUUGAGAAGUAUUAAUGGCCUAGUAAUGUAUAAUUAUUAUUUUUAUUGAUUCAACUUCGACUUUUUGUGAUAUUAGAAUCAAAAAGCCUAGUCAUUUGUAUUGCGUGAAUGUAUUUGUAUAAAUAAAAAUUUAAAAAGUCGGUUUUAAUUAA
Molecule: unclassified non-coding RNA, 1316 nt
Filed under: Onthophagus taurus
Lineage: Eukaryota; Metazoa; Arthropoda; Insecta; Coleoptera; Scarabaeidae
Description: uncharacterized LOC111428042, transcript variant X1
Source: RNAcentral